CUGGUAGUAGUAGCAAAUUUGGCUUGUUUGUUUGGUAGUCGUAGCAAAUUACAUCUGCUUCCUUCUCUCCCUCUCUCUCGCUCUCCUCGGGUAUUGUCGCCGUUGAGGACCGCGGUUCGCUCAGGACUGCCCUCCUCCUCCUGCCGCUGGCUGUCGUCGGUGCCGUCGUUGGAAUGGAACCAGAGGUGCCGCUGCCGGCGGUGGAGACGGGAACGGCGGGGCGCCAACCGGAUCUGAUGAGGCGGAGCUGCUGCUGCACCGACCUGGAGCAGAGGAUCGAUCCCGGUGGGCGGUGGCGGGCGGGGCUCGUGGGGCCGAGCGGCAGCUAGCCGGAGUGCGGCCCACGGUUUCGGCGUCCUGGACGACGUGGGACGGCGGCGACCUCGCCAAUAUCAAAUGGUUGGUCGCCCUCUUUGCGUGCUUGCCUUAUCUCUGAAACAACAGCAUUUUCCAACUGUUCCUUUUACUUAAUUGCUGAAUAGCAACCAUUCGUGUGCGUAGAAUUCCUUUUACUUAAUUACUUAAUUGCUGAAUAGCAAGCUCACACGCGGUGAGCACAUGAGAGCCCACUGCGUGUUUGAUCCACAGGAAACAAGAACAAGCAAUGCCCCUAUGUGAUCCACAGGCGUAAUUGACCAAGACUGUAUGCGCCGAAUGGAGCAAGCUCUCUUUGUGAAGGAAAGAAGCAGUGAGAAUAUAUCAAUUGUGUCUUCUAAACACCACAGGCUUACAUGGCUAUUGUAUUAUGAAUCCACUGAAUACUCUGAAUUUGGAAGUGUUCUUGUGUUUAUUUUCCCCUCUCUUCUUCAGUAUGUGGAUGUGUUUUCCCCACGACCCCACUCUUCUUCAGUUUGCAGCCUAACAGAAGUCUGCAAGAAAAUUAAAUUUACUCGAGUUUUGCAUCAACGAUUCUCUUGACUGGUACUCAAAGGGUGAUAAGGUGACUUGCUAGUUCAGUUGAAGAAAAUUUGUGAGGAAUAAGAUAUGGACACAUAAUUGUUUUCAUUGAAUUGGCAAUUGGAGGAGAGAAGGAAGAUACUGUAUGUUCAUUGGUUUCUUGGAGGAUGACCAAGGAAAUUCCACAUCUUUUGAA
Molecule: long non-coding RNA, 1093 nt
Organism: Brachypodium distachyon (stiff brome)
Lineage: Eukaryota; Viridiplantae; Streptophyta; Magnoliopsida; Poales; Poaceae
Exons: 2
Source: RefSeq, a predicted model, not a curated record